CAGAAUUUUCCAGAGCCAGUUAGGGAAAGUGGGUGACCGGUGUAGGUAGAAAACCAAUUUUUCUUGAAGGCUCCAGAACAAAAGCAGUCAGGGACGUGGUUACCCAAUGAGGAAAGGGGAGGAGAAAGUAUGGGGGUGCAUAAAGUUGUUGGGUUUAUUUUUAAAAGCUGAAACACUCAGCUCUGCUCUGUCACCUCUGCCUCUUCCCCUUCGGUUAAAUGGAGUUAACCUAACUUCUAAGACCUACCACUUCAGUCCCUGAAGGGUGUUUCAGGCAGAAAUCUGGUGAGCAAUUCCUUGUCACAAGAGACCCAGAGGGGAGAGUGCAAGGGUGUGAAAACUUCCCACUGGAAAACACAAAAGUAACUCAAGGGCAAUUGUGGAUCUGUUGUGUGGAUGAUCCAGGGGUUGGGCAGCCAAGAGGAAGCGUGUGAGCCGUGAACACCAAAGCGUAAGUCCCGUUCAAAACUGGGUCUAAAGGGAAAGUGAAGAAAUGAGCAACAUUUUAAAUCUCAAGAAAAGACAAAUGUGAGGACGCCAAAACAACUCCUUAAGAAAAGUGCUUUAAGAUACUUUUUUUAAAAAAAAAAAAAUCAAAACUCCAUUAUAGAGGUGUCUCUAUGACAUUUGCAAUCCACUUUGUUUGUAUAGAUAAUGCCUUGAAAACUAUAGAUCAGAAGAAGGUUAUUCUUGGGAGAGGUCAAAUAAGUGAAAAGAACAACCUUUAGGUAGGUGCAUGAAAAGUGAAUAUGGACCUCACUAAUAUCGUUAAAGUCUGAGGAAUGAUCAUUUGCAUGGCAAUAAUUUGAAAUUUUCAGAGAAUAAAUAAUCAAUUUGAAGAAAGCCUGGGUCUCAUGUGCCUGGCUUCACAUAGCUGUAUUUCUUUAUAUGUGGGAUAUGUGUAUGGUUUCUAGCAUUCCUUGAAGUUUCCUAGUCACUUAGGGAUGUUUCUGGAAAAGCAGCUGGGGGCAGAUGGAUGGCUGCCCUAUUAGAACAAUUCAUCAGACAGUAUUGAAAUAUUGAUAAGAAAACGGAAAUCAAAUUACAAGAGGGGAAAAGAGAGAGGAAGAGGGAGUGGGACCUAGAGAGCCAGUGGGAGGCAACGAAGAGGAAAGCCGUGGUGUAUACACUUACUCCAGCGGUUCCGGCAGCCCAGCACGAAGUGCCAGAGCUGAGGUCGCCUAUCUGCUUGUGCUGGAAAGAAAGGCGAAUUUUGACUGCCAGCGGUCAGCAAGGUUUAAUUCUGUACUGCUAAGGUGUGGGGAACUCUGAGCAGAGACAAUAAGCACAGACAACUGGAACACCCUGGAGUUGCAGGAGUUCGGCUCCUGCUGGCUUAGCAGGAAAGGGUGUCUAAGGUGAGUGUUUCCUUUGUGUCUGAUCCUCCCUGGGGAAUGGGUGAUGCAGGGUCUGGGCACCUCUCUGCCAUGGCUGCUUGCGCUGGUUGCAAUUGGGAAAUAAGGAGUUUUCUGGAGUUGCUUUUUUCUUUCUCUUUUCUCAUUUUGUCAUCUUUUUACCCCCUUUCAUAUCCCACUGGGUCUUGCAAAGAAAAUGGGGAGACUCUGAGAAAGGGCCAAGGAGUGUAGAAGCAGUGAAGGGAAUCUAUGAGCUGGAGAAACGGACUUUGUUCCUGAACUCGUGCGUGUCUGCUGUGGCUUCAGGAGCCAAAAAAAAAAAAAAAAAAAAGAAAAGAAAAAGGCUGGAAUUUGUUAGCAGGGAGAAAACUGCUUUAUCAGAAACACAUUGGCUGCCAGAGAAGCUGUGUGCUGCCACAUUAAAGAUGGCUAAAAAGAAGGAAGAAAUGAGAGCGAGCCAUCAGACUGGGCUAAGGCAGGGAUAGAUCCACUCAUACUGAGGCACCUGGCACCCUAGGGUAUUUUUUUUUUCUCUCUCCAGUCCAAAUAUUCAGACUAAGACACCUCCUUUGCUACUAAAAAUGGGGACCGGAUAUUCCUUGUCAUUGUCUCUACCCACAAACCUGUUUUAUUUCAGAAGAAGGAGGGCUCUUUCCUGGGAAAGGGCCUCCACAAACCUCUGAACCUUGAGCCAGUCUUCCUUCAUAAUCAACCUAUCCAUCGAAAGGGAAGAGUGCGGCAGUUAGCCUGAACCCUGGGAGGGCACAAGCAUUGGCAGCUCUGUAAUUAUCUGUUCCCCAGGGCCUCAGGCUGCAUGGAAGGUGAAACUUAUCACCCCCCUGGCUACUUUCUCUCCAGUCAGGACAAAUCUCAAUGGUCCCAGGUGCAAAAAUACACAAGUUCUGGGAAAGGCUGGUUUCUCCGAUUGCAGAGGGAAUUAUAAGAGAUCCAGAGAUGUGAGCUUACUCUCAGUUCUCACCAUCCUCUAUCCAGAAGCCUUUCUGCAGACGCGCAGGGAAUUCCCUGGGACCCUCCCUGGCUGGAUCAGAUGAACCUGAGCCUUCCAACUCCCAAAGUUUUCUGCUUGCAUUAGCUUGAUCACUUGCUCCACUCUCUGACUAAAUUUUCUCUCACCCAGGUUGGUUCUCGAGCCUUCUGGACCCUUUCUCACUAACGCAGGAUGUUUCAGACAGUCCCUGACACAUCGUCUUACGUCAAGGUAAGACAUGACAGCAUCUUUAAACAGGUAAUGAGCCCCCCAACUCUCCUCCACCCCUCACCAUAGGCCUAUGGUCCAUUCAGCCUUUUUCCAGGAAAGGGGAAAAGAGGAAAACCCUUGGGACUCAGGGUUUAAGGAUAAGACUUUGCAAUUCCUGUUUAGGAGACUGGGAAGCAGGGGAGCCUAGUGAAGACUGAGCUGGAAGAACUGGUCGCCCGCCCAUGUCAGGUCCCAAAGGCUGGUGUUCUCUGCUCACUGCAGGCUCCGUGCAUUAAGGAUGUGUACAUGUUUGCAUGGGAGAGCAAGUAUGCAGAUGUGGGAGUAUAUGUGUUAGUGCGUGUGAGGUGGGCGGGUGUGCAAGUGGGCGGGUGCAAAGCAUUUCUCCCAUGGUUUGGACAACAGCUCAGCCCGGAAGCCCACUUUCCUCUGCCCGCUCCCACCCUGAAAGCGCUGAUUGCUAUAUUUGACAGCACAUCGAAGGAUUUUUUUUUCUAACUUUCCACAACAGUUCCCAAGAAUGUAAACAAACCAAAGCUGGGACAUCUGGGUUACACGUUUAAUGAAAACCCCCUGACUGAGCUGGGAGGAGAGUGCGCACCGGGCGGCCCUGCCCAGAGUAGGGAUAGUGGCAAGGUCUUUAGGGCUGCAAGUUCCCCACCCCGCCUGGACACGACCUUACACCUUCCGGGUAGGACCCCCAGAGCCCCGAGUACCUGAGCUUGCCUUAGAGCAGAGGAAGAAAGACUCACUCAGGUGCUGCAAACGUAUGCAGAUCUCCUUCAGCUCCUUGCCCCGCCCUCCAUCUUGAAGCCUCGCCCCCUAGUGCCCCACCACCACCGGUGCCACUCGGUUGAGCUCCCUCCAGAGUCCGCUAAAGCUACCGCGGUGUCUGGGCUUGUUCGCUUGCACCUGAUAAGUGUGCGGACUCUUAAGGUCUUGUCCAGGGGGCGCCAAUUAUGUGUCGACCCUCCUUAGAUCUCUCUACAGGGAAACAGGUCAGGUAGAAAUAAGCGAACAUCUUUGCGCUCCCCACCUGAGAUCUGAAGGAGUCCACGGAAAGCCGGAUCCUGGAGGCUUGGCCGGGAAAGAAUGUUUAAUAAACGAUGAGAGAGAGAGAGAGAGAGAGAGAGAGAGAGAGAGAGAGAGAGAGAGAGAGAGAGAGAGAUCCUUCCAUCAAUGAUUAGCGAAUGGAGGGGUGGACGAAUGGCUCCUAGUAGGUGCUUGAGCACAAUCUUCAGAUUGGACUAAAACACACAAAGUUCACUGUCUUAGGUUUUCCUAAGAGGUUCAGGAUGCUGCAGACCACUCCCAACUAGAACACAGCCCGAGGAGCUUUAGCUUCAAGCUCUUCUCUAGGACUGUAAAUGGCUCCUGGAUAUGGAGUUGCAACCUCCCUUCCACACGCACCCAGGAGCCAGAAUCUUAGGGAUGAGGAACACCAAAGGGGCAACCGGAAGUCGAGGAGCCAGACCCAGGCUAAGGGUCAGGGAGAAAGCAAACUGGUUAGGGAGAAUUGAGCAGACCAGCCUUGGGGGGUGGGGGCUGGCAGUCUGGGAGCUGUGGGCCGCCAGAAGAGCAGCUCGCCGCAGGAGCUCCUUUCAAGAGGGAAAAUGGAUUUUUCAGCAGCCACAAAGUUUGUAUUGUUGCACAAAGGGGUGCAUUGAUGACGCUAAAAGGUCUGCGUGGCUGGGACAAUCUUGGGUCUGUUCCCUGGUUCCCUCCACCAACCAUUUGCCAGAGGGGUACAAACAGACUCAGGCUGCCAAGCCCCUGCCAUUCCCAGUCCAGCACCCGGCUCUGGGGUUGUUGACAAACACAGCAGGCCUAGGCUCCUGGGCCCCAGGAGUCCAGAGCCAAGCUGAGCCCUGAGGGUCAAGGGUGCCCAUUCCACAGGGCAGCGAUCUAGAUGGUGACUUGAACCCCUUGGGGCCCACAGAGCACUCAAGAGUACAUACAGGGGAAGAGCUUAAGACAGGUAUAGAACUGGAAGGACCCAGGGAACAUGAGAGAGAGGAACUGAAGACCUUGACUCAGCAGUGAUACUAUUGAUCCCUAUUUCUCAGAUACCCUCAUCCCUGCCAGGCCAUAUUCUAAAUAUUGUAUUUGUACCAACUCACUUAUAAUGAGCCUAACAGUUGGUCUCCUAUUUUGCAGAUGAGAAGGUACUGAGAGGUUAAUGUGACAGAGCUUGUAAGGGGCAAAACCAUAGAGAUAAAUAAGGGUAAAGUUGUGCUGCCAAGCAAGUUCUAGAUAACUUAUUUCAUCUGUAGAGAAAGCCCUUCAAGACGGGUUCAAUUACAAACCCCUUGUAUAAAUAAGGACACUGAGGCCCAGAGAAGAAACAUGUUCAAGGCCACAGAGCUGUUAAGUACUGAGGUAGAAUUCAAAUUCAGGUAGCCCGAUCAUCCAACCAGAAGGUUCUUUCAUGGCACUCCUCUGUGUGACAGGAAGAGGGACCAGGAUACUUAGUGGGAUAACCCUGACCAGCACCUGCCACAGCGGCAGUAAGCAAAGCACUCCUUUCUUCAAGUCUGUGGAUCACAUGUCUAAGAGCGCCUCUCUUGUCCCUUGCCGGACUGGCAGGGUCCUACUCUUUCCUUCUUUGCUCAUCUCCUAGACUCCCUGCUCUCCCUCCUCCACCUAUCAGCCUGCCGAUUCGGCCAGAGUAGCAUUUGGGGGAGAUGCCCUCCUCUGCCCGCCCCCUAGUUGAAGGGGGGUUGUUAGCCCUCAUAAUUUCACAGCCCCAAGGCCAGCAGAUCCGAAGCUGCAUUUCAAGGAAACUGGUCUUGGAAUGAAUAGUGUUUGGGACGACUAACUGAGAGGAAGGGACUGAUGGGGAUUGGAGAAGCUGAACCACCUCCCCACCCACCCCAAAAUACACACACCGGUGUCCGCAUCGGGGCGUCACCACUGGGUGAGGGUCCUGACACCUGGCUGGUCUCCGCCUCUUGUCAGCCUGCGCUUUCUGGUCAAUCUCGGACUCCCCUGAGGUUUCUUCGUCGACGCCGCGUGGUCUGGGGGCCCAGCCCCGGAGCGUCUGGGGUCCGGGGCGCAGAGACCCUCCCUCCCCCUCCUGGGCCUGCCCACCCCGGGCCCUUCAGCCGCUGGGGCCUCCCACGUAGCAUUUUGAACCCGCUCGGCGCUAAGGCAAGAACGAGCGUGGGGAGCAGGCAGGGCGAGCAGAGGCUUUAAAUCUUCCUUCAAUCUGCGAGUAGAUGAAGUCUGAGAAACAAAUUCAAAGCAGGCGCGCCUGCAGAGCCUUCCUGCAGAAAUAUUCCCCGGCAUUCAAGCGCAUCCAGGGGCGGCUCGAGCUGCCUUGUUUGGCUAAGGUCAGACGAGACUCGAGUUCUCCAAUAAAAAUAAAUCUCAAAUUAAUUAUGGCCUCGAGCGAGAGGCCAGACACUUGAAGCUGCAGUUGUGCAGUCUGGAGUUUUGGCGCUCGCCUGCCACCCCUCCCCCCGCUCGCCAGCUUCUCCCUCCCUCCGCCUCCCGCUUUGCCAGCUUGGAUACCCGCUGCGGCUGCUCCGGACCAGCCGGGUUGGGGAAGACAGAGGACGAAGAAGGAAGGAUCCGCCCGAGACGCUCUGCCAGGCCUGGAAUCUUUCGGCGUUUCAAGUGACUGAGCUGUCCCCGAGUCCGGAGGCACCCCAGGGACCAGCUAUGGUUGUCACGUCCUCCCUCCCCCAACCCAGGCUGGAACCUAAGGAGCCCGGGAAGCCUGCGUCUGGAAAGUCUUGACCCGGUCAAAAGGGCUGACAUUGAGCGAGCCAAGACACGUUUCGCCCAGCCGUUCCCCUCCCGGGGGAAGCAGGACUUCCGCAUCUUUGAAAAUAUUGUCAAGUGCGAAUGGUGAGAGGCAAGUGGUCUCACCGACGUUUCAAUGAAAAUGAUCCAAAUCCAACUAUUUCCUAAAUAUUUGCCUACAUAUGCACCCUUUCUAUAGUCCUUAGAAAGAUGUGGUGGGCUUUUAUUUGGGGGGGGGGGGUCCUCCGGUUGGUAGCUUAAAAAAAAAAAUGCUUUGCCUGGCUUCUUUGGCUGUGAGCUUUCCCUGACUUGAAAGCCAGGAAUGGGUUGGUGGAAUGGGCACUGAUGGGACCCAUACCAGAUCCUGGUCACCAGCCCUGCCCAGUCUGGGAAAGAGUGAGGCCAAAUAGUCCCUGGUGAGCCAGGAAAGAGGGUGUGCACAAGUGUGUGGGCACUAGGCUUGUAGACAGGGGAUAGAGGGAGGAGGAGAGUGACGGGGAGAGGUUAGAGGAUGAGGAAAGAGAAGGGGAGGGAGAGGCCAGAGUAGCAGAAAGCCCCACCCCACCCCCAACACACAAGAUAGUUUUCAUUUGUAGCCUCACCGCAGGCUCUCUAUCAAUUUGUUUCAAUGCAAACAUUCAAAAUAUGCUCUUUGGCUGCUCGUGAAAACAAUGUGAGCUGCCAGGAUCAAACCAUCUUUCCAGAUGUCUGGUGGUAACCACAUUAAACAGGGCAGACUUGUUUACUGUUGUGUUUGGUUAGGGCUUUCCCCCCUUCAGGAUUUAAAAAAGAAGAGCAGCAUUGGAGUGGAGCAUGGAGCCCAGACUUACAUAAGUGGGGCAAACUUGUCCACCAGCACAUCAACAUAGGAGGGAAGGAAUCUGAUAUUCCCUUCGAAAUCUGCUCAGAAUUGGCUGGGGUCUUCUUUUUCAGAAAAGACCUUGUGAAUGGGCAGUAGCUCCUUAUGCAGGGGCUAGUAAACAGCAAAAGGCAGCUGCACUGGUGCCAAUUUGAGAAUCACAAAGGGGCAAUGAUGCCUAUGUCUAUGCAUAGGUUGAUGCCUCUGCCAGGCUCCCUUUCCCUGACUUCCAAAAUUGUGAAGUUGCUAUAACUUUGGUUUUAUAGGCAGAAGCAGAAAAUGCUGUUGUGUUCCGAAGCUCAGACAGAAGGCCAAUCUUCAUUUUAAUCUACUUUCAUAUUGAACACUUCCAACAGGAAAGGCAACUGGUACUAAAUGGGAUUGUGGGGUGUACUGUUGAGGUGAUAACUGAUCACUAUAGUGAAGAGGACUGUUAAUUGCCAAACCAACCAAAGUUGGAAAGAAAAACCUAGUGAUUGUGUUUGCCACAGAGUGCCUUUA
This 7678-nucleotide long non-coding RNA is filed under the name Marmota monax (woodchuck). The record is from RNAcentral. Lineage: Eukaryota; Metazoa; Chordata; Mammalia; Rodentia; Sciuridae.